AGUGAACGCUGGCGGCAGGCCUAACACAUGCAAGUCGAGCGGCAGCGCGGGGGCAACCCUGGCGGCGAGCGGCGGACGGGUGAGGAAUUCGUCGGAAUCUGCCUUUUUGUGGGGGAUAACGUAGGGAAACUUACGCUAAUACCGCAUACGUCCUACGGGAGAAAGUGGGGGACCACAGGGCCUCACGCAGAAAGAUGAGCCGACGACCGAUUAGCUAGUUGGUGGGGUAAAGGCCCACCAAGGCGACGAUCGGUAGCUGGUCUGAGAGGAUGAUCAGCCACGCUGGGACUGAGAGACGGCCCAGACUCCUACGGGGGGCAGCAGUGGGGAAUAUUGGACAAUGGGGGAAAGCCUGAUCCAGCCAUGCCGCGUGAGUGAAGAAGGCCUUCGGGUUGUAAAGCACUUUUGUCCGGAAAGAAAUCCCUGGAGCUAAUACCUUCGGGGGAUGACGGUACCGGAAGAAUAAGCACCAGCUAACUUCGUG
Molecule: ribosomal RNA, 484 nt
Filed under: uncultured bacterium
Lineage: Bacteria
Description: partial 16S ribosomal RNA
Rfam family: Bacterial small subunit ribosomal RNA
Source: RNAcentral